CAAGCCUGAUCCAGCAAUGCCGCGUGAGUGAAGAAGGCCGUUAGGGUUGUAAGCUCUUCGCCCGCGACGAUGAUGACGGUAGCGGGAGAAGAAGCCCCGGCUAAUUCCGUGCCAGGCAGGCCGCGGUAAUACGGAAGGGGCGAGCGUUGUUCGGAAUCACUGGGCGUAAAGCGCGCGUAGGCGGCCUUGCAAGUGCGGCGUGAAAGUCCUGGGCUCAACCUGGGGACGGCGCUGCGGACUGCACGGCUAGAGUCCGGAAGAGGGUGGUGGAAUUCCGAGUGUAGAGGUGAAAUUCGUAGAUAUUCGGAGGAACACCGGUGGCGAAGGCGGCCACCUGGUCCGGCACUGACGCUCAAGCGCGAAAGCGUGGGGAGCAAACAGGAUUAGAUACCCUGGUAGUCCACGCCGUAAACGAUGGGUGCUAGAUGUCGGGGGGCUUGCCCUUCGGUGUCGGAGCUAACGCGUUAAGCACCCCGCCUGGGGAGUACGGCCGCAAGGUUA
Molecule: ribosomal RNA, 501 nt
Filed under: uncultured Pseudomonadota bacterium
Lineage: Bacteria; Pseudomonadati; Pseudomonadota
Description: bacterial SSU rRNA
Rfam family: Bacterial small subunit ribosomal RNA
Source: RNAcentral